UGCCGCUGAACCAUAAAUGCAGGUUGAUAAAUUCACAAGAGGCUGAACCAUGGUGCUAAUGAUAGGUAAAAGCUCCACAAAAUUAAUUGGUGCUGCAACAUAAUACUUAUUUUUCACAUGAGAUGUUGGAGCUGUGUAAACAGGAAAAAAUGCAAGAGAAUGAGCAAAAAAACAGUGGUACAAAUUAAAGAUAAUCUAGAACUCUUGUUCAAUCAUACGGUCAUAUAAGUGUCGAUGAAUACUGAAAAGGCAAGAGAUACAUCAUCCGCGUAGUAAUUGGAAACACAAAGACACAAAGUUUUACCUAGAAACCUGAAGCACGCCUUUCUAGACAUGGCAAACUCUUGGACGUAGAUCCUCUAAUCUACUUGACGCCCUUGCAGGCAUUAUUGCACUUGUGUAUGUUUAGUCUACCAGCAGAAGCGUUUUUUUACAUUAUUGCACUUCUGUAUGUGAUGUAUAAUACUUUACAUUAGUAGUGAAAAAUUCAGCUGAAAGGGCACACCCCAGCAAUCCUCAUCUUGUGAACGCUGAGAAACUUCGGUGGUAUGAGAAAAAACUGAAGACAACUUCCUUCCGUUAGUUUCAGUAUAUGAAGGCAGCAUUAGUUCAGGGAUUGUCACAUUAGUAGUUAAUAUGAUGGAGUUUGUACAUCGAAAUACAUGUCCACGUAUAACUUAUUUGCAGGUUUGUAUUAACUGAUAUAGCUCUAGAAAACACACUAUUAGUGGGGAGGAGGUGAACAACAUUUACCAAAAGCUUAACAAUCUAAAAUAAAUAUGUGGUUAAGAUUACCAUUAACAUGCAUCUUGCUGCCAUUUCAUGGAUGUUAACAUUACCAAAAAAACCCUGGAAAAAUAGCUGCAGAACAGGGAAGAGCAAAAGACCUGAUGUGAGUUCACCUUUUGUAGUCCAUAUGCACUUACAUAACCAACAGAUAUAGUGACCUGUUGAAACAUUAAUAUUCCUUGUCAAAAGCUCCAAAGCAAAGAAAAUCAACAGUCGAUUGUGAGGUCUAUAUGGAAUCAAAUAACUCCCAUAAACUAAGAAAGGCAGAGUAAAACAUCAGUCUGGGAUUCAAAAAACGAACCCUUGAGUCGUAUCCACACCAUAUGGUACACAAUUCCUCUCACGUAAGGUGAGGCUUGUGCAUAUAUACUCAACUUCAUCAUGGGAACGUGUCUGCUUGUGUACAAAAUAAUAAAGAACCAAUCGAAUCCUACACAAUGAUAAAUGCCUGUUUAUUAUUCUUAUAAAACAUUAUUUUACUUACUGGAUAAUUACACGAGAAAACAUGGAAUAAGUACAGCUAGCUCUGUAAUUGUAAAGGAAAUAAGUUGAGUUCUGUAUGUACUGGAAAAAUUAUACAGAUUUAUCUGUCUUUUUAAUGCGGGUUUUACGGAUAAAAGGACAACACUUGUACAAUCAAUCAAAAGUUAGAUGACUGCAUACACGCCCCAUACUACAGACUGUGCUGUCUAGUUUGCAGUUUGCACAUCAAGAUAGACCUAAUCAUGGCAUGGAACUAACAAAAGCUAGCGGCAGAUAAUACAAAACUGUUACUUCCAAACUUCACCCUCGUUCAUUACAGACUUACAGUCACACACCAAUUUCAGUUCAAGAUGAGCUUCCACAUCGCAGCCUGAUCGAAAAAUAAAUUCUACAGAGGGAAGAAGGGGGCAAAGGGAAUCGUGCGUGCUUACAGGUGAACUGCAACUUGCGGGACUGGGUCUCGACGACGCCCUACCUCAUGGCCACCACGAAGAGGAUCAGAUGCUGGUGAUGGUCCAAUUCAAGGCCAUGUAUCUCUGGGCGUCCCUCUCAGGCAGCCGCCGGUGCAAGAACCCGGUCAACAUCUCGGAGGCCCCCAUGGAAAGAGCCGCGGCAGUCCUCCUCGACGGUUGGGAAAGAGGAUGCCGGGACAUAGCCUCCGCUGCUGCUCCGAGACGGAAUCAUGAUGCGGUGAUGGACACGCGGACAGAACGG
Molecule: long non-coding RNA, 1986 nt
Filed under: Triticum aestivum (bread wheat)
Lineage: Eukaryota; Viridiplantae; Streptophyta; Magnoliopsida; Poales; Poaceae
Description: long non-coding RNA (TAES_LNC009503)
Source: RNAcentral